This 281-nucleotide long non-coding RNA is filed under the name Phascolarctos cinereus (koala). RNAcentral describes it as "lncRNA (ENSPCIG00000017285.2)". The record is from RNAcentral. Lineage: Eukaryota; Metazoa; Chordata; Mammalia; Diprotodontia; Phascolarctidae.
AUGGUGUCCAGAGGAUUUUCUAAAUGCAUUAAACCGAAUAGUUCAACACCACGGACAGCGACUGCACCUGUCUGGAUGAAGGUCUGUGAUGAGACGUGUACGACCUUUUUCAGAACCAUGGACAGUACCACAAGCUUCAAGUUCAACGCCAUUAUACUGUAAUCCACACUAAAGCACCAUAAUGUGUUAUUUGAAACCUCAAAAUGCAACCUCCACAUGAAGAGUAUCAAAAAUUAAUUAAAAUGAAAAUAAAUGUUUGUCUUCACAUUUUAAUAGGUCUG